Molecule: ribosomal RNA, 473 nt
Filed under: uncultured Rhodopirellula sp.
Lineage: Bacteria; Pseudomonadati; Planctomycetota; Planctomycetia; Pirellulales; Pirellulaceae
Description: bacterial SSU rRNA
Rfam family: Bacterial small subunit ribosomal RNA
Source: RNAcentral
AAUGAACGUUGGCGGCAUGGAUUAGGCAUGCAAGUCGUACGAGAAGCCAAUUAGCUUGCUAAGAGGCGGACAGUGGCGAAAGGGAGAGUAACGCGUGGUUACCUACCCUCAGGACCGGGAUAGCGUCGGGAAACUGGCAGUAAUACCGGAUAACAUCUACGGAUCAAAUGGUGUGAUUCCGCCUGAGGACUGGACUGCGUACUAUUAGCUUGUUGGUGGGGUAAUGGCCUACCAAGGCUGCGAUGGUUACCGGGUGUGAGAGCAUGGCCCGGCUCACUGGGACUGAGACACUGCCCAGACACCUACGGGUGGCUGCAGUCGAGAAUCUUCGGCAAUGGACGAAAGUCUGACCGAGCGAUGCCGCGUGCGGGAUGAAGGCCCUCGGGUUGUAAACCGCUGUCAGUUGGAAGGAAAUGUUAUAGGGUUCUCUCUAUAGCUUGACCGAUCUUCAGAGGAAGGACGGGCUAAGUACG